ACCCUCCAGUUCCCUUUCCCAUCGGAUCAGAACACUGGCCUGGGUGGUCGUAAAAGAAGGAAAGAAACUGGGAGCUGUCCCUCAGUGCUCUUGGAGCUCGGGCUAGUUCAAACAGNN
Molecule: small nucleolar RNA, 117 nt
Filed under: Echinops telfairi (small Madagascar hedgehog)
Lineage: Eukaryota; Metazoa; Chordata; Mammalia; Afrosoricida; Tenrecidae
Description: Small nucleolar RNA SNORA61 (ENSETEG00000023116.1)
Rfam family: Small nucleolar RNA SNORA61
About the family: ACA61 is a member of the H/ACA class of snoRNA that guide the sites of modification of uridines to pseudouridines.
Source: RNAcentral